Molecule: ribosomal RNA, 244 nt
Filed under: uncultured bacterium
Lineage: Bacteria
Description: partial 16S ribosomal RNA
Rfam family: Bacterial small subunit ribosomal RNA
Source: RNAcentral
CUCAAGCGUUGUUCGGAUUCAUUGGGCGUAAAGGGUGUGUAGGUGGCGCCGUAAGUCGGGGGUGAAAUUUCGGAGCUUAACUCCGAAACUGCAUUCGAUACUGCGGUGCUUGAGGACUGGAGAGGAGACUGGAAUUCAUGGUGUAGCAGUGAAAUGCGUAGAUAUCGGGAGGAACACCAGUGGCGAAGGCGACUACCUGGCCUGUUCUUGACGCUGAGGCGCGAAAGCUAGGGGAGCAAACGGG